CUCAGGACGAACGCUGGCGGCGUGCCUAAUACAUGCAAGUCGAACGGUCUUUCUAUGGAAGCUUGCUUCCACUGAGAAGAUAGUGGCGAACGGGUGAGUAACACGUGGGUAACCUGCCCAUAAGAGGGGGGAUAACAUCCGGAAACGGGUGCUAAUACCGCAUAGUUUUCUUGAUCGCAUGAUUGAGAAAGGAAAGACGGCCUUUGUGCUGUCGCUUAUGGAUGGACCCGCGGCGUAUUAGUUAGUUGGUGAGGUAACGGCUCACCAAGACGAUGAUACGUAGCCGACCUGAGGGGGUGAUCGGCCACAUUGGGACUGAGACACGGCCCAAACUCCUACGGGAGGCAGCAGUAGGGAAUCUUCCGCAAUGGACGAAAGUCUGACGGAGCAACGCCGCGUGAGUGAAGAAAGGUUUUCGGAUCGUAAAACUCUGUUGUCAGAGAAGAACAAGUUGGAGAGUAACUGCUCCAGCCUUGACGGUAUCUGACCAGAAAGCCACGGCUAACUACGUGCCAGCAGCCGC
Molecule: ribosomal RNA, 523 nt
Filed under: uncultured bacterium
Lineage: Bacteria
Description: bacterial SSU rRNA
Rfam family: Bacterial small subunit ribosomal RNA
Source: RNAcentral